This 442-nucleotide ribosomal RNA is filed under the name uncultured bacterium. Its description in RNAcentral is "partial 16S ribosomal RNA". It matches the Rfam family "Bacterial small subunit ribosomal RNA", at positions 338 to 795 of the family's 1533-position model. The record is from RNAcentral.
CCUACGGGUGGCUGCAGUGGGGAAUAUUGGGCAAUGGGCGAAAGCCUGACCCAGCAACGCCGCGUGAAGGAAGAAGGCUUUCGGGUUGUAAACUUCUUUUGACAGGGAAGAGCAGAAGACGGUACCUGUCGAAUAAGCCACGGCUAACUACGUGCCAGCAGCCGCGGUAAUACGUAGGUGGCAAGCGUUGUCCGGAUUUACUGGGUGUAAAGGGCGUGUAGCCGGGCUGACAAGUCAGAUGUGAAAUCCGGGGGCUCAACCCCCGAACUGCAUUUGAAACUGUUGGUCUUGAGUAUCGGAGAGGCAGGCGGAAUUCCUAGUGUAGCGGUGGAAUGCGUAGAUAUUAGGAGGAACACCAGUGGCGAAGGCGGAUUGCUAGACUGUAACUGACACUGAGGCACGAAAGCGUGGGGAGCAAACAGGAUUAGAUACCCGGGUAGUC